RNAcentral lists this ribosomal RNA (492 nucleotides) under uncultured bacterium. Its description in RNAcentral is "partial 16S ribosomal RNA". It matches the Rfam family "Bacterial small subunit ribosomal RNA", at positions 29 to 507 of the family's 1533-position model. The record is from RNAcentral.
AGUGAACGCUGGCGGUAGGCCUAACACAUGCAAGUCGAACGGCAGCACAGUAAGAGCUUGCUCUUACGGGUGGCGAGUGGCGGACGGGUGAGGAAUACAUCGGAAUCUACUUUUUCGUGGGGGAUAACGUAGGGAAACUUACGCUAAUACCGCAUCCGACCUACGGGUGAAAGCAGGGGAUCUUCGGACCUUGCGCGAUUGCAUGAGCCGAUGUCGGAUUAGCUAGUUGGCGGGGUAAAGGCCCACCAAGGCGACGAUCCGUAGCUGGUCUGAGAGGAUGAUCAGCCACACUGGAACUGAGACACGGUCCAGACUCCUACGGGAGGCAGCAGUGGGGAAUAUUGGACAAUGGGCGCAAGCCUGAUCCAGCCAUACCGCGUGGGUGAAGAAGGCCUUCGGGUUGUAAAGCCCUUUUGUUGGGAAAGAAAAGCAGCAGGUUAAUACCCCGCUGUUCUGACGGUACCCAAAGAAUAAGCACCGGCUAACUUCGUG